This 340-nucleotide RNase P RNA is filed under the name Centroceras clavulatum. RNAcentral describes it as "ribonuclease P RNA". The stretch from base 2 to 181 matches the Rfam family "Bacterial RNase P class A", at positions 44 to 222 of the family's 367-position model. Rfam says of the family: Ribonuclease P (RNase P) is a ubiquitous endoribonuclease, found in archaea, bacteria and eukarya as well as chloroplasts and mitochondria. The record is from RNAcentral. Lineage: Eukaryota; Rhodophyta; Florideophyceae; Ceramiales; Ceramiaceae.
GAGGAAAGUCCGGGCUCUAAUUAAAGAAAUAUUGCUAUUAAAACAAAUAGUAUAGGUAACUAUGAGGAAAGUGCCACAGAAAUAAACCACUUAAAUAUGAUUUAAGAAAGGGUGCAAAGGUAUGGUAAAAGCAUACCAGAAAUAUAUUUGUUAUAUUUGCUAGGUAAACCCCAUAAUAGAGCAAAGUAAUUAGUAAAUAUUUAGUAUCUUUUUAUAACUAGAUAAAAAUUAUUACUAAUUGAUUAAAACUGCAAAACAAAUAUAAUUUGUAAAGAUUAAUAAUUACCCUUUUUAUUUUAUUUAUUAAAAAUAAAAUAACUAAGAACAAAAUCCGGCUUAC